This 4062-nucleotide long non-coding RNA is filed under the name Carassius auratus (goldfish). RNAcentral describes it as "lncRNA (ENSCARG00000008690.1)". Lineage: Eukaryota; Metazoa; Chordata; Actinopteri; Cypriniformes; Cyprinidae. The record is from RNAcentral.
CACACUUUAUAGUUUAGGAUCAAAUUCAGCUUAUGCACCAGGGAUUCAGAAAUCGGCAGGCUCUGGAGAUGCUGUGACCAUAUCGCUUUUGGUUAUUUUUAUUUAUCUAUUUGUAUGAUUUUCAGAAAUAAUUUGGUUGAUUUUUUUUCCUCUUUGGAGGAAAUCUCAUAUCACAGCUGCUAUGUUUAUGGAAUAUUUUGAUUGGACACGAGAAUAUUCCAAAAUAUUGUUCAUAAACGCUGAAUGACUUAGGUUUUUACUGCAGAUAUGAGUGAACAGAAGUUUAGUUUGAAAAAGGCCGCUUUCAGUCAAACUGCAUGGGAGGCGAUUCACUGAUUGCCUUAUUUAAGUUAAAAGUUGUACAUCAGAUAUUCUUCUAGACAUGGCUAUAUGGACACAUUGUUUGAUACUGUUAUGUUCCUGUUUUCUAGCUUCGAACACUACUCACUCAUUCCUCUUGACUCAGUCUCCAGGACUCACACUCGUCUCAGUCGGUGGUUCUGUAGAGUUAAGAUGUAUAUUUGAGCAGACCCUAAGGUACUGCUAUACCUCUGCUGCAUGGAAAAAGAUGAAUCUACGGACUGGAAAACUCACGACAGUGAAUAGUAGCUAUGAGAAUAAUGUCCUUCAGCCUGAUGAUAAAACCUGUGUUUUGACUCUCAAACACGUAACCAAGACAGAUUCAGGCUUGUAUUAUUGCAUGACCAGAUUUAAUGACAUGGCUGUCGUCGGCAAUGGGAGCAGGGUGAUCGUUAAAGAUCGAUCUGAACAAAAACUCUCCAUCUUAUACACACCACAUGAACCUGAUUCACCAUCAGUAUCACUGCAGUGUCUCGUGACUGGACUUGUCCCGUCUCAGGUGCGUGUGUUCUGGAUGAUUGGACAGAAUGUGUAUUCUGGAUGGACCGAGUCCGGCUGGACAGACAACACUGAUUCAGCCACAGAAUUCACUCGAGCUCAUCUCUCUGUUUCUGAAGAGGAGUGGAAAGAAGCCAGUAAAAUUCAGUGUUUUGCUGAAUAUGAUGGCAAGAACAUCUCCAAAACUCUGAACCGAAGCGGAGCUGAACCUGCAAUCAUCUCGUGGCUUGUGUACUCUGGCUGUGUGGCAGCGCUCCUGACCAUACUUCUAACUCUGAUUAUGUCUGUGGGAUUAUACAGAGAUAUGUUGAUGACCAAAAAAUCCAAACGGCUCAUGAGAAAAGAUGCCCACCGCAAAAUUUCAUAUGGUAAACAGAACACACUUCGAGAAGAGAGUCCAUCUGUUAUGGUAGGAGGCAGAAAUGAAGAUGAUGAACAUUGAAGUGAAUCACAAAAAAAAAAAAAAAAAACAGUUUCUGCUGUUUCAGAAGAAAUAUUAUUUAAAUAAUAAACAGAUUUUAAAUAUCUAUCAUACAAUAUGAACAUGGAUUGAUGUAGCAAUAUUUAAUUUAUUUACAAAAACUACAUGAUAAAUGCAAUCUACCAGUAUGUUUAAGCCAAAUAAUCUGUGCAUAUAUAAUAUGGGUAUGUUACAGUACUUUUAUUGGUGAUAUUGGUAAAGGUUUUAGCAUUUGAUCAGUACCUAAACAGAACUACCUAAAAAAGUUUUUUUUACAUUUAUUUAUUUACAAUUAUUUAAAAUGAUUUCCUAAAUCUUCUGAAGUUAUAUGAUAGUCCUGUGCGAGGAACAAAGUGAGACUGAAAAUCUUUGGGACUGUUCUCCUGUACAUUUUAAUUGAAUGCAGACAACCAUGUUCAAAUGUGUAGAAUAGAAAAUUAAAGAUUUUCAGUAAUGACGGCUUAAACUUUGGUCUGGUCCUCACAGUUUUUGUCUUGGACAUUUUGUAUCACUUUAAUUAAUUGUGUUAAAUUUUGUCCUCUUUGGAGCUUGACAGAGGAGGUCAUGAAUGUUGUGAAAUAAUAAUAAUAAUAAUAAUAAUAAUAAAAAUGUAGAUUCUUUAAAAGUGUUCCUUUUUAUUACAUGGCUCUCUGGAUCUCUUGAUUGUUGCAUUGAGCUGUCAAUAUUUGUCAUUAUUCAUAAUUCACUAUAUUUCUUAAUUGGCAAAUAAUAGAAAUAAUGGAGCAAACCAUUCCUUCAAGCAAACACACAACAGAUAAACAAAUCUUUAGAGUGUGAAAAAUUGCAAAUAUUUGAUCGGGGGAAAUAAUACUUUGCAAACUUUUAAUUAAACAAAUCUUUUGGUCAUUUCAUAUACUUCAGCUUGCAUUUUAUAAUGUAAAUAUUUUGUCCUGUGUUUCUCUGGGAUCUUAUCGGUCAUGGACAGGAUGUUGGUCCAUCAAGAGAAUAAAGGUAAUACAAAAGCAUAAUUUGUAAUGAUAUGAAUUACAUGAAACAGCAAAGUUCCCUUGCAAACUUAUAUAACUUGUAAAUACACUUGUUAGGAUCAUUUUUGCAUGGACUUGAGUUUUUCUUUCUUUGUUUUUCAGCGGGGAAGAGGAAAUGUUGGAGUAUGCUAAAACAUUUAAUUCCUGAAAUCAUAUAUAUUGUUAACUCAUAUAUCUUAAAAUAACACGAUUGCCUGUUCUGGUUUUAUUAUGUCCAUGUUAAUGAAUAUUUCUUAGGAACUGUUUCAUUUAUUUGUUUGUUUUUAUAAUUAUCUUCUUUUGUUGUUUUUUUUUUAUUGUCCUCUUGAAAAUUUGUUUAAUAAUGCUCCUCAUAAGCUACAUCAUAAAAGUAAAUGUUUCCUGAGCAGCAAAUCAGCUAGUACAAUUAUUUCUGAAAUCUCUGAAACAAUUUUAAUAUGAAAAUUUGGCAAUCGUUCAAAUACAUUUUAAUUUAAAAGUGAUAAUAAAGAAAAAACUUAAUUUUUAAAUUACAAUAAUAUUUAGUAUUAUUGUUUUUACAUCACAUAAAUUCACUAAAUGGUAGCAUUGUUAACUAUCAUGAGAUCUCUUUUCCUACAUUUCUGAUAUGUGCAGGACUGAACAGCAAAGCUACAGUUCAACUUUUCUUCCCUGGUGGCCCAUCAAAUUAAAAUUAAUCUUAAUGUUACUUUUCAUUUUACUUUUUUUUUUUUUUUUCCGAGAGGGUUAAAAACUCACAGUGAAUGAAACAGGAAAGUGUAUGGCCUCUUGCUGUAGUCUUCACACUCUCAUUUAACAGCUUGUGGUUAGACAGAAGCGGCAUAACAGGAUGUUAGAAGAGACAAAGGUCUCAUGAAACAGAGAUGCAAAACUACUUUCACUGUCCAUUGUUGCAGCGACUCCACUGGCAUUACUUAAGCCUUGAUAUAAAACUAUCUGAAUUUUGCCUAAUAUUGUCAUCUAAUGUUCUCCAUCCCUACAGUAUGUCAAUAUCCACACUGAGAGUUAUGAAAUACUCAGAUGAUCAAUUAAACUAGUCUGCACAUCUUUAUUAACAAAGCAUUCAAAAUAAAACAUUAUAUAGGCUAAUGAAAAAUAGGUUAGUGUUGACAUAUUGACACAUAACGUUGAAUUAGAGCAGAAUUGUGAACAGCUAUUACAUUGACUAGUUUUCCUCUUUUAUAUUAUGCAGAUUUACAGAUCUUAGAGUUUUCUGAAUUAAGAAAGUAACAUAAUUUUAGUAUUUCUAAUUGUAUGUUGUGUAUUAAAGGUGGAUUUUUUUAAAUUACUUAAAUUAAGAGUUUUGUGUGUCCUGUUUUGACAUGCAGUUAUAAUAUAUUUACUAUCUUGACCCUGGAAACAGAUGUUUCUGUCUGAGGUGCAGGUGGAGGAACAGUACUCUCAGUUUGAGAGUGAGGGUGUGGGUGUUGAGCAUUGGCCGUUCUUACACCAUGCUGCUCUUUUCAUCUCACACCCGUGUGGUUAGAUCUGAACAAGUGACUGCAAACAAAUUGUACAAAGAUUUUCAGAAAGCAGAGAGUUAAACGGCUAGAAGAACAGCUUCUUAACCUGUAGCGGAAAACACAAAGAAAUCCAUUAAAAUAAUAAUAAAUGUUUGUUCAAAUCCUUAAUACUGUGAGCAAUAUUUGCUAUUUUGCUGUUCUUGCCCUAUAGCAAACACCAUUAAUCAAUAAAUUGUAUUAAACUUAAUAAAUAGAUAAUUGUAUUCUCUAUGUAUGUUUUUUUUUUUCAUUUAUU